GAGGCAUUUAAUGGUAAGAAGUGGGAGAAAUUUAACAGUGAGAAAGUUGCUUCUCUGGCAUAUGCUCGAAUCCAGGGAAAGGCAGCCCUUGUGAACCACUUCCAGAAUUCAAGCUUAAUGAAUGAAGAUAAGCGCUGCCGCCCAAUUCUGUUCCACUCAGAGGGGCAGGAAGCAGGUGAUCAGAUUGUCUUCGAGCAUUUGCCCUCUAGCAGUUUGAACAUCCACUUUCAUCAGUCAGAUGGCUCACACUCUGGAGAUCCACCAGGAAGCCCUACAAUGGAUGGCUACGGUGAGAAGUCAGAUAAAAGUUAACAUUGUGUCUGCUGUAGGAGAUGGCCCUCAGCCUAAAAUGAUGGUGGCUGUGGGUGCUAACCCCUGCGUAUAUAUUCAAGUGUACAAAUUUAGAACGAGAGGAUUAGGAGAAAAUGCUUUUGCAGAUUUCAUAUUAUUUAGUGACUGCUUUUAAAGAGGCAGCAAGAGCAUUUUAGUAUCUGUGCUGAUUAGUGGUUUACUGUAAUUGGAGGAGAAUAACUUGAGGUCAAUGGGCAGAAGUGAGAUCUCUUGCUGUGAAGUGCAGUAAAGGGUUUGUGCAUGAAUUCUCUUCAUUUUUGUUUUUGGGGAUAUGGAUUUGAUAACUUAUUCUGCAAAUAUGAUGUGUACAAUGGUAUAAGGAUAGGUAUGUCUUUGGGGGUUUGAAGAUUUUGGGGGGUUUGGUGGUGUAACAUUGGGAUUUUUACA
Molecule: unclassified non-coding RNA, 738 nt
Filed under: Hevea brasiliensis (rubber tree)
Lineage: Eukaryota; Viridiplantae; Streptophyta; Magnoliopsida; Malpighiales; Euphorbiaceae
Source: RNAcentral